UGUAAAGUGAUACAAAGUGUUUUGUUUUGGUUGUUUGUUUUUGUUUUAUUCUUCUCAUAUCAUGUUCAAACCAGGAAUUUACUCUAUCUCAGUCUAGUAAGGAACUGGAUUUACACAUUUCUAAUGAUCACUGACUUAAAGACAAGUGCUGUGCAGAAGAAACUGGCCCAGAUACUCUUCUGUUUUACAUUUUGACUUCUGUAGAGAUAUUAACAAAACAGUUCACUAUAUUUGGAAUGCUAAUGGCAGUCAAGUUACAUCAAGAGAAGGAUCUAUUAUUAAAUUGACAGAAUGUCAACGGCAGAAAUCAGUUAUAACUUGUUCUGCAUGUCAUUAGCAGGAACAAUCACAUGCAAAUUCUUAACGUUGAUCAAAAUUUUAUUUCUCAUUGAUUUUUUUUUUUCUGUGCUAGACAGGAUAAGGAAUUAUUCUUGAGGGUAGUCUGGUACUCAACAGAAACUGCAGUGCUAAAAGACAGAUGUUACCUCAUGAGUAGCUCAUGCGCUAAUUUCUCCCUUAGAAAUGUUUACUUGAAGUCAGUGAAACCUGGGUGAGGCGGUCUUAGAUUUCAAAGAGAUUUCCCACGUAUCUGGUUUUGAUUGUCAUAUCCUUCAAUGCACUUGUCCAAAUCCUACCCACAUGCUACUAUGCAGAUAAGGCACUCCUACGUAUUGAAUGUUCUGCACAGAAACGCCUAAGCAGCCUUUUUUUCCCUUCAACAAAUGGAGCACUAAAAAUUAUUCUGAAGCAAGUACAAUUCUGCCCACCAACUGUGGAUAAUGCAGGGACACCUUUGAGUAUGUUAUUAUAUAAGCUCAGAGCAAGGAGUGAAGAAAAAAUGGCAAACUUUGCUGCAGCUUUAGAAAGUUGCCAGCAGCUUGAAAAAUUCACCUAUAGAGAGAGCUGAGGUGGAAAAUGAAAUUGUUUAAUUCACUUAAGCUACUAAUUCUAUUAAUGUCAAUAACAAACUGACGCGACCAUACUGAGCAGCCCUCUGUUCCCUGGAAUGAAGAAAGCAGUAGUAAGACCAGAAUAAGGAUAAUUUGCUCUUAAUGCUUCUCUAAAACUGCAGUUUUGUUGUUGGAGGUGAUGCUCUUUCCACAGUUGCAGAAAAACUGGAGUGUUGACAGCACUUUAAUUUGCAGUUUAAUAGGCAGAUUUAAUUUGCUUUGCUGGAUUAGAAAAGUGAGCACUGAUAUGUUGGCUAGCCCCAGAAAUGAGCAGUGUAGCUAUUUCACACCUUCGUUAUUACCUGCAUAGUGUAUCCUGUUGCUGUCUUCUGACAAAAACUCUUCUCAAUUGAAGCUAUGUGCUUUUGAAUUUCUUUUUUAGUUCAAGGAGCUUUAUUUCAAGGAAAGCUAUGGGAGCUCCUGCAUGCAUGUUCACAAUGAGAGAACUGUUUGUAAGGGAGUUGAUCAUCUUUGGGUGCUUGAAGCGAUAGAUAAAGGUAAAAAAAAUGUCUGUGCAUCGUGAAUUGUUACUUUCCAUUAAAAAGAUGUACAUUUAGAAACUAAAUCAGUGUUGUGAACAAAAUCUAGGUCGUAUAUUUUUAAACCUACCUUGUCCCUUUACAAUUUAAACUCAAGAAAUUAUAUUAGAAAUUGAAUUAUUUUAUUUAGAUGCUCUUUUAUUCUUACUAGUAAAAAUGAAUAAAAAUGACUGGGACAGCUUGCAGUUUGAUUCUUCAUAGUUCAGUGAUCAGGUUCCGUAUGUUGAAAUAAGUAACUAUUUAAAGCCAUCUGUUUCCUUUGGAAUUAAAAGUAAUAAUAUUUCCAGUAGUGUUAAGUAUUUCACUGAUACUUAAAAAUAAAUGAAGUAGCAGCACGUUUUUACACUAUUUGAUAAUGAUAUAUUUUGUAUUUCAGAGAGGAUAGCUCUUCUUUAUUUGAGCUCCUCUUUACAUUAGAGUUAUUGCUUGCAUUGGUAAAUCACCUAUCUCAGAUGUUAAAUAUUUCAUUGGCAAAACUGACACAAAGACCUGACCUUAAUUAUUGGAGUGGGAUUCCAGCAGUGUAUAGGCCCUCCUCAGGUCAUUGGAUAAAAAAAGAAAUGUAUAUUUCCAUUUUAAAGAUUAGAAAGAUGGUGAUGUUAUCACUUGAAUCAAAGGUUCCAUCCACUCCUCCCUUCUCAUGACAGUGCAAUUUCUCUUUGAAAGUGUUGAUGUUACUGAUAUCAGUAUCAUCAGAUUGUUCCUGGGAAAGCCACAAAAUCCUGAGUCAGGUCACUUGGCAGUCAAGUGGAGGAGAAAACUGCUUUUAAAGCUAUACUGAAUUGCUUUAAAUUGCAAAUAUCUUUGUAUUUGCUUUAGGGGCUAGGUUUUGUUUUCAAUUCUGUUGUUGCACUCUGGGUUGGAACCUAAAAUUUAUGUUUCUUUGACUGUUUAAUGUUUUUUUUCAUCAUCUUCAUAAAUAGUAAUGACUAGCUUAUGUAUAUCCAGGUAAGUAAGGCAAAAAGCCCCUGGAUGUGCCGAGUCUGAAAGAAAUUUAAAUUAGUGUAUAAAAUUUUAGAAGAGGAAUUAAGGCUCUUAGCAGCUAACCGAAAGCCUAGAAUCUUUUAAAUUCUGUCAGUGGUUUGGUAGGUACAGCUAAAUCUAGCUUUACUUAAGAAAGACAGUGGCAGGAAUAUGGUUCAAAGUAAAAGGGUUUCAGCUUAAUGAAAGCUAUUUAGUAUGUUCUUCUAAAUCUACAGAAAAGCAAAUCUUUAUUCCCAAGGUAUAGAUAAUUUUUAGUAUGGGAAUCCCAAAAAUUUUAAUGAACAUUCUUUUUUUUUUUCAUUUCCAAUUAGCCUCAAACCUAGCUUCCAGAGUUCUAGCCUUCAACACUGAGAAUUCUAAUUGUAAUAAAGCACUUAAGGUGGUAUUUAAUUAGGGUGGUGAUAGGAAAGACCUGAGCUGGGGCUGAGGUGUUAAUCCUUUUUUGCAUUCCUCAGUGUUCCCUUGUGAUUGUGAUUGAUGAGUUGAUGUCUCUUUACAACUUCAUUUGUAUCAUGUGGUAAUAGCCACAGGCAGAAGUGCUGUAUAUUUUCAGACCCAUUAGUACAAAGAAAUGUGGAAAAAAGGGUAGAGGGUAGUGUGAAGAGUUGUCUUAGUUCCUAACUUACAAAAUAACUGGUUUACAUUUGUUAAUGUGAUUAUCGGUGUAAGUGCUGGUGUUUAUAAUAUCUUUGUCUAUUUUACCUUGAAAACACUUAUGUCUUCCACUCACCGUCCAGCUCUUUCCCACAUCUAUUUGUAUCCCACUUACAGUGUGAGAAUG
This 3254-nucleotide long non-coding RNA is filed under the name Gallus gallus (chicken). Lineage: Eukaryota; Metazoa; Chordata; Aves; Galliformes; Phasianidae. The record is from RNAcentral.